AUGUAUGGAAUGUGUUGUAGAUCAAGUUAUGGAGAGGGGGAAAUCGCAUCUGGAGCAAAACCAAGUGCAAACAUGGGUAAGAAAAAAGUGAUGGAUUCCUAUCUCAUGCCCAACCGCUUGAGUUUUUCAGUUGUGUACAAAACAGGAUUGUUGGUGUGUUUCUCAGCAGCAGUGGAUCAUCUUGACAGUGCAGGAGACAGGGACAGAGGUCUUCAGGAAGUUCAUGGGAAGGAUCACAGCAACCAGAGCACCUACCGUCUGUCGGGGAUGGUCUCUCACCUCGGGGAGAGCAUCAACACCGGCCACUACGUCAGUGACGUAGCUCGAGAGGACGGCGCCGGAUGGUUGACCCUCAACGACGCCCGUGUGACGCCCGCGGAGACGCCGGUCCUGAGGACCAGAGAGAAGACCGCCUACAUGUUGUUUUACGUCCUAAGUGGAGCAGAAGAGGGAAGCCAUGUCCCACUGGCUCAGAACCAGGAGCCAUCUGGAGCUGAGAGGGACUGACACCUGUGAGGCCCAGGAGAGCGCUUGAUUGGUGGCAGAGUUCCCGUUGUCCGCGGAAACACUGAUUGGUGGUGCCUCUACAGCCCGCUCUGGGGGCCACACCCUGCAGCCCCCCUCUACAGCUGAGGCCCACCUUUAAACGCCCCCCUAGGGGCCACACCCUGAAGCCCCCCUCUACAUCCCCCCCUAGGGGCCACACCCUGAAGCCCCCCUCUACAUCCCCCCUAGGGGCCACACCCUGAAGCCCCCCUCUACAUCCCCCCUAGGGGCCACACCCUGAUGCCCCCCUCUAGGGGACCUGAGGCCCCUCUCUACACCCCCCUCUGGGGGCCACACCCUGCGUCCCCCUUCUACAGCCCCCUCUAGGGGCUAACCAACCCCCUCUACACCCCCCUCUCGGGGCCCUGCGGCCCACCUCUUUGGACUUUAAGGCUGAUCAUAAUGAGGAUCACUUUAUUUUUAUUUUGUAUCAUAAUAAUGAGGAGCAUAUUCAUAUUAUGUAUAAUAAUAAUGCUGAGG
Molecule: long non-coding RNA, 1026 nt
Filed under: Gadus morhua (Atlantic cod)
Lineage: Eukaryota; Metazoa; Chordata; Actinopteri; Gadiformes; Gadidae
Description: lncRNA (ENSGMOG00000034920.1)
Source: RNAcentral